This 904-nucleotide long non-coding RNA is filed under the name Acanthaster planci (crown-of-thorns starfish). RNAcentral's name for it is "uncharacterized LOC110989198, transcript variant X1". Lineage: Eukaryota; Metazoa; Echinodermata; Asteroidea; Valvatida; Acanthasteridae. The record is from RNAcentral.
CAGCAAUUGUUUGUUUGAUAUUUUUCCUAAGGAACGUUCCAAUCCAACAAGCCCACAGAAUGGCUGUACGAAUUCUGGUGGGCUCCCAGUGAAUGCCGUAUAAUAGUGGCCUAGCGUCAACGAAGCGUAGGAACAUGCUUCGUUGUCAAGACGAUCCAGGAUAUAAUUUUCACUCCAUUUUGGGCUACAGUCAAAGCCAUACGUAGUAAAGUGACAGCAAAGAUGAAGCAACCAACCCCGAAGCCCCUACCAAAUCCCCCAGAUGUAGACAUCGAUUUGCUCAACCAAGUGACUCUGUCCCACGACACAACUCCAGCCUCCUCGGUCCCCUCGACUUCUUCAAAUGCUUCGUGCACAGAAGGAUCCUGUCGGAGAUGACGCGGACAAUGAAUGAAUGACAGCACUGCAUCCUCUGUUGGAAAACUAUACUGUCCGUAGUUUUUCUCACAUAAUUGAUAUCCUCAGCCUUUGUAAAAUAAGUUAUUUUGGCACUUUAACACACAGGUCCACACAUGAAUCUAGUUCACUUUGUACGUAUCACAAAAAAGAACAAAAUCAGGCCGUUGCUGAAUGCUUUUCCGUUAUUUUCUGUGCGUACUUUGCCCCCAGUUCAUAACUUUCACAAAAGAUUGCAAACCAAAUAUUUUCUGGGGAACCUGAAAAAUUCCAUCAAAUAAUCACGAUUUGAUGUUUUAAUGUUUCUAUACCACCAGCCGUCGAAUUAAGGAUGUAAUUAACUACCAUUUCCAACAUUGUCGUUUAGAAUGGAAAAUGACACGGAAUAUGUAUGUGUUGCUGUAAUUUUUUUUCAAUUAUAGGCCCACAAAAUCACAAAUGACGUGACAUCACUAAAAUUUAGUUCCCCGGUUUCACUUUGUAAUGGUAUCGACUGUCAAAGUUUUGG